This 467-nucleotide ribosomal RNA is filed under the name uncultured bacterium. RNAcentral describes it as "partial 16S ribosomal RNA". It matches the Rfam family "Bacterial small subunit ribosomal RNA", at positions 29 to 507 of the family's 1533-position model. The record is from RNAcentral.
ACGCACGCUGGCGGCGUGCUUAACACAUGCCAGUCGAACGGAAAGGCCCUGCUUUUGUGGGGUGCUCGAGUGGCGAACGGGUGAGUAACACGUGAGUAACCUGCCCUUGACUUUGGGAUAACUUCAGGAAACUGGGGCUAAUACCGGAUAGGAGCUCCUGCUGCAUGGUGGGGGUUGGAAAGUUUCGGCGGUUGGGGAUGGACUCGCGGCUUAUCAGCUUGUUGGUGGGGUAGUGGCUUACCAAGGCUUUGACGGGUAGCCAGCCUGAGAGGGUGACCGGCCACAUUGGGACUGAGAUACGGCCCAGACUCCUACGGGAGGCAGCAGUGGGGAAUAUUGCACAAUGGGCGGAAGCCUGAUGCAGCAACGCCGCGUGCGGGAUGACGGCCUUCGGGUUGUAAACCGCUUUCGCCUGUGACGAAGCGUGAGUGACGGUAAUGGGUAAAGAAGCACCGGCUAACUACGUG